Molecule: ribosomal RNA, 443 nt
Filed under: uncultured bacterium
Lineage: Bacteria
Description: partial 16S ribosomal RNA
Rfam family: Bacterial small subunit ribosomal RNA
Source: RNAcentral
CCUACGGGAGGCAGCCGUGGGGAAUAUUGGACAAUGGGGGGAACCCUGAUCCAGCGACGCCGCGUGAGUGAAGAAGUAUUUCGGUAUGUAAAGCUCUAUCAGCAGGGAAGAAAGAAAUGACGGUACCUGACUAAGAAGCCCCGGCUAACUACGUGCCAGCAGCCGCGGUAAUACGUAGGGGGCAAGCGUUAUCCGGAUUUACUGGGUGUAAAGGGGGCGUAGACGGCGAUGCAAGUCUGAAGUGAAAGGCGGGGGCCCAACCCCCGGACUGCUUUGGAAACUGUAUGGCUGGAGUGCAGGAGAGGUAAGUGGAAUUCCUAGUGUAGCGGUGAAAUGCGUAGAUAUUAGGGGGAACACCAGUGGCGAAGGCGGCUUACUGGACUGUAACUGACGUUGAGGCUCGAAAGCGUGGGGAGCAAACAGGAUUAGAUACCCGGGUAGUC